Molecule: ribosomal RNA, 505 nt
Filed under: uncultured bacterium
Lineage: Bacteria
Description: partial 16S ribosomal RNA
Rfam family: Bacterial small subunit ribosomal RNA
Source: RNAcentral
GACGAACGCUGGCGGCGUGCCUAAUACAUGCAAGUAGAACGCACAGUUUAUACCGUAGCUUGCUACACCAUAGACUGUGAGUUGCGAACGGGUGAGUAACGCGUAGGUAACCUGCCUGGUAGCGGGGGAUAACUAUUGGAAACGAUAGCUAAUACCGCAUAAUAUUAAUUAUUGCAUGAUAAUUAAUUGAAAGGUGCAAUUGCACCACUACCAGAUGGACCUGCGUUGUAUUAGCUAGUAGGUGAGGUAACGGCUCACCUAGGCGACGAUACAUAGCCGACCUGAGAGGGUGAUCGGCCACACUGGGACUGAGACACGGCCCAGACUCCUACGGGAGGCAGCAGUAGGGAAUCUUCGGCAAUGGACGAAAGGCUGACCGAGCAACGCCGCGUGAGUGAAGAAGGUUUUCGGAUCGUAAAGCUCGGUUGUAAGAGAAGAACGGGUGUGAGAGUGGAAAGUUCACACUGUGACGGUAUCUUACCAGAAAGGGACGGCUAACUACGUG